RNAcentral lists this ribosomal RNA (112 nucleotides) under Tursiops truncatus (common bottlenose dolphin). RNAcentral also lists the same sequence under 1 other name. The record is from RNAcentral. Lineage: Eukaryota; Metazoa; Chordata; Mammalia; Artiodactyla; Delphinidae.
GUUUACGGCCAUACCACAUUGAACUUGCCAGAUCUUGUCUGAUCUCGGAAGCUAAGCAGGGUCGGGCCUGGUUAGUACUUGGAUGGGAACAAUGGAGAAGGUCUGCCAAGUU